Long non-coding RNA from Homo sapiens (human), 1371 nucleotides. RefSeq lists it as uncharacterized. The transcript has 5 exons. Lineage: Eukaryota; Metazoa; Chordata; Mammalia; Primates; Hominidae. The record is from RefSeq and is a predicted model, not a curated record.
CUGGCUGACGGGGGCGGGAGGGGGUGGGGUGGUGGGAACCGGCCACGCCGGGAAAGGUGCAGUAGGCGCACACAAUUGACUGAAGAGGACAGCUGAGACUUAUACGGAGGAUUCCACCUACGUCUCCAGCCAGCCUUACGGUUCUCCCACUGCUGCUCAACACUAAGGGCCCUGGGAGAGCGGGUGCGGGCGGCUGAGCUCUGCCCGCAUCCCACCUCUCACGCAGCCGCGGAGUGGACUCGGCCUGGGAACCCUUGUAAUCCAAUUGCGGGAGGAGGUGCCAGGAAUGACCCCUCCACCGUGGGCUGUGGGCGUGGUGGGAGGAUCAUUUCACCCCAGGACAAGGGUGAGCCCUUAGGAAGCUGGAAUAGAUACUUCGAAGCCCGAGAUGACCACUGUCCACGGCAGCCUCAGUCCCUUUCUCCCAGAACAUCAUUUAGCUGUUGAGCUAAAUCAUCCACUUGGCCCCUUACAGCCUCGACCUCGUCACAAUGAAGUAGAUGAGGCCACAGAAGCCUUUGUUAUCUCCACGAGCAGCUGGAGCCCGGCUUUGGCUGAGCCCUGGCAAUGCCUGCUACACCCCAGACCAAGGUGAUACGUGGGUGGCUGCUGCGAUCGGAAUGUUUACACCCCCCCACCGCCAUAUUCAUCUGUUGAAAUCCUCACCCGCAAGACAGAAGACAACCAGCAUCUAUGAACCAGGAAGCCCCCACCAGGCACUGAAUCUGCCCCUGCGUGGAUCUUAGACUUGCAGACUCCAGAACUAACCUUACAAUGUCUCUUCUCCAUUAAGAAAACCUACUUCAACAUCUCCAUUGGUUCUCAACAUAGAGGUCCAAAUUUUGGUCUGGAGCCAGAGACAAUAUAGGAUGAAGUUUGAUUUGUUCCAAAACCCACAGAAAUCUCUAAAAUGGAAGAAUUUUCUUAGAACCAAAAGGCAUGGAAUUGAUGACAUGAAACUGCCUGAGCUUCUCAGCUGACCUGUGAUGGAGUGUUGUGCCCAAGUGGAAAGUUCUUCUUUCUUUCAGAGACAUAUCAUUCACCAUAAAAUACAACCAGAGACUUCAAAAUUACUCCAGGCUAGAAGGACACUCCAAUUAGGGGAAAAGUAACCUAUGGGCAAACCAUCUUCCGUAAGAGUUCAAGGACAAAAAACUACUGAUGUUGUAAUAACAUUGAAACUUAAUGUUUUGGGCAAUCCUUAAGUGAUUUAUUUGGAGUGUCCCAGUCAUUUUAGACCUCUUCACCUUACAAUGUAUUGUGUGAGAUUAUAUUUCCAUGCACCUAAUUUUAAAAUAAAUUUAUUUAGGUAGAUGUAGAGACAUAUUACUGUGAUAAAGCAGUUCAUACCAAAUAAAAUUUAGCUAAUAA